UGGACACCCCAACCCUUCCAGGACCCUUGGGAUGGACACCCCAAACCUUUGGGACCCUCGGGAUGGGAUCUCCAUCACUUUAGGUUCUCCUUCCCAUCCUGGAAUGGGAAUCCCAAACCUUUGGGGUCUCCUCAGCCCUUUGGGGUCUCCUCCACCAUUUUGGGAUCUCCUGCCAUGGGAGUCCUGACCCCUCUCUGAUGUUUUUGGGGUCUCCUGGAUCAAUCCCAGCCCCUUCCCUGCUGGCCCGGGGAUUUUUUAGGGUCUGGAUUUUGAGGUCUGGACUUUUGGGGUUUGGACUUCAGGGUCUGGAUUUUUAGAGUUUGGAUUUUGGGGUGACACAGCGCUAGUGACCAAAGUUGUACAGGCAGGAGGGGGCUGAGGGUCCCCCCAGAACCCCCCUGGGGUAUCUUGGGGUCAGUUUGACCCCAAAAAACACAAAAAUAAGCACAAAAGUUCCCCCUGGGUGAACUCCUGUAAGUUAUUGGGAGAAGGUUGAAUUAUUUUUGUUAAUCACAUCUCGACGAUCAGUUCCUAGCUCCUUCCGCGGGGAGAUUUUAGAAAUAAUAAUAAUAAUUAAUUAAUAAUAAUAAUUAAUAAUUAAUAAUAAGCCAGGAAAAAAAAAAGAAAAAAAAAAAACAACAAAAAAAACUUUUUUAUUAAAUCUUCCUCUAUGCAAACCCCUCCUUUUCCUCCCCCCUGGGGAAUUCCUAUUUAUUGUUCAGGUUUUGAUUUGUAUU
Molecule: long non-coding RNA, 737 nt
Filed under: Zonotrichia albicollis (white-throated sparrow)
Lineage: Eukaryota; Metazoa; Chordata; Aves; Passeriformes; Passerellidae
Description: lncRNA (ENSZALG00000009154.1)
Source: RNAcentral